Long non-coding RNA from Homo sapiens (human), 645 nucleotides. RefSeq lists it as uncharacterized. The transcript is spliced from 4 exons. The record is from RefSeq and is a predicted model, not a curated record. NCBI's taxonomy places the organism in Eukaryota, Metazoa, Chordata, Mammalia, Primates, Hominidae.
GUUCAAUGAGUUUUCAUAGUUUUCUGAGACAUUCAGAAUAUUUAACUAUUUUUCAAAAGUUGCUUAUCAUCUCAUCUGCCUAAAUAUUUUAUGUGGCCCACACUCUCUCAACUUACUGCCUCCUCCUCAUACUGCCAGAAGCUUAACCCUGUUCACCAUUUUCUAACUGAUUCUUUCGGAGAUAACUGUAAAUUCCAUGUUUGAGCCUCAUGAUGACUUCCAUGGAGUUUAAUAGCUGACAGAAAACUAAGUUUGGAGGGCAAACUGCCAUACGAAAAUGUGGAAAGACAGAUGAAUCUGCAGAGUCAAAGACAAGAUCUGCUUACCUGGAGCAGAAGCCAUAAACUGAGAAACUGGACUUCAACAGAAAGGGAGAAAUAAAGACUAUCCCAGGCUCUGAAAGACAUACGAAAGUAACUUCUUCAGGGAGAAGGAAAAUCAUAUAGAUAUCUGAAAAAUGAAAAAGAAAGACAUGUUAUUUUCUGGAGAUGGGGAGACAAGUGAACAGAUGUGGAGUUUACUGAAGCUUCAAAGAGUAAUUCAAUCCAGAUUGUGAAGAAGUCUUAGUGCCAAUUGCUCUGGCAGCCAUGUUAUGACCAUGAGACAAUCAGCCAUAGAAAGAAAUAUUCUGCAUGAUAGUUUAGA